Phalacrocorax carbo (great cormorant) is the source of this 2252-nucleotide non-coding RNA. Lineage: Eukaryota; Metazoa; Chordata; Aves; Suliformes; Phalacrocoracidae. The record is from RefSeq and is a predicted model, not a curated record.
GAGGCUGCGGAGUCUCCUUCCGUGGAAACAUUCAAAACCUGCUUGGAUGUGGUCCUGUGCCCCCUGCUCUGGGUGUCCCUGCUCAAGCGGGGGGGGUUGGAUUAGAUGAUUUCCAGAGGCCCCUUCCAACCUCUGCCAUUCUGUGAUUACCUUUUAUUGCUAGAAAUGUCUGAUGAGUUACAUUUUAUUUUCCCCAAAUACAUUAUUCAGAGUGAUAGUGUGAAAUGCACCAAAUGAUAGAAAAAUACAAAUUAAAAAUUAAAUGAAAAAAUGGUCAUGUGGAAACGCUGUAAUGAUGUACCCUCCCAUCAGGCUUGCAAACUAUGCUUUUCUUUAAGCUCAUUUUCAUAUUUUGUGUGCAAAUAUUUGUCCACAGUGCAAUUUGGAGGUGCUUUUGCCUGUGUGUUGAACAUAGCAACUUUGGGACUGAAAAUGAGAGAGGAGGAAUGUAGAGAUGCUAUUGUCUCAGCACGACACCAUUGCUUGAAGGAGAGAAAGAAGCCUACCAGCAACAAAACCUUGAGACUCCAGUUACAGUGAGUUUCCAAUUCUGUAAAUAAAUAAAUCACUUCUUAAAAAGACAGUAAGCCUGAACUGGAAAGUAAAGUGGGGAAAAAAGUGGGUUUUUUUUCUAUCUAGCUGAGUCCAUAUCUGACCUUCCAGCAACUGUGAAUGCUUUAAUUUCAAUGAAGCAGCGCUUUUUUCUUUGAGAACUUGAGGCAGAGCAUUUCUGAUCAGCUCUUGCGCCAUUGAAUUUUACCAGUUUGUUCACAUGAGAUAUGUUUUGUUCUCUUUUGAAAUGAAAACUAAGUCUCUACGCUUUCUCUGGAAACCAUGUUGAAAUUUGAGAACAACGUUUCACAAAGCUGCCAAAAACUUACCUGGUACACCUCCAAUAAACACUGGCUCCCUGUGGUCAGUUGCCUUUGGAUUUAGUGGCCCUACCACAUGGUUGACUUCAGAGUCUACAUCCAGCUGCACCACAUUAGCAUCUCUAAUAACUGAAAGGAGAAGAAACAGGGAUCAAGAAGAUUGUAAGUAGCAUGUGAGUUCUCUGUGACAGACAGGAGUUAUCUGUUUGGUCUGAGUAGUUUGGUUUAGUAUGUGCUAGAUUGCCUGUGAGCCAUCAGUGACACUAUGUGGGCAGAUUCAGGCUCAGAGCCAAUGGAAGAUACAGUGUGGGAGCAAGGGUGCUUCUGAGUGGGGCUCUUGAUUGCUGGCAGCUGUGUCUAGGCUGCAGGGUAUGUUCAUACAAUGGUGUGUUGCUUAGAAAAACUGUUUGCCACAUCGUCCCCAACAGGGGAUGUAUUAGAAUACAGUGAGGUUUCCCCCUUGCUUAUGUGUCUGGGUUUUCCUUCAGAAGGAAACCAGAAUGCGUGGGCGAAGGAUACACACUCAGAUCUCUUCUGAAUGUGAUACUGGGAGACAUCCUAAGUGGGCAUCUAGACAGGAAGGUAAGGAAGUUCAAAGUACCUGAGGUUUAGAAGUACUUGUUGACUUUCAAACCCAGGAAAGAAGAUUGCUGUCUGGCACAGAGGCAAAUCCUGACUAUAGACAUCUCUCUGCGUGAGGCAGAGGCUCCCCAGAUCUGUCCUGUUACUUGACAUUUAAGGGCAGCAUAUACUUGUGCCUACUACAUUCUGCCAACUUAUUUAACCUCUAAGUGGAAAAAGAAGAAUAUAAUCUGUUAGAUGACUUAAGCAAGGUUGCCAGCAUUUCAGCUAGGCUGUUUUGUGCUCUUUGAACAGGAGCUUCCAUCUUGGCUUGUUCUUUGUAGGAACUUGUGCUUGUCCUCCCAGGAAGAUCUACAGUUCCUGUAUCUGAGGGAUGAAUACAACUGUGUCUUUCAUACAGGCUUGUGUCUUGACAGGUGAAAAGGAAGAACUGAAAAUAUGACCCCGUUCCCAGUGCACCAGCCCAUGGAGGUGUGUAUCUGCGGAGGGAGAACUGGGCUUUGUCACAUUAGUUAGGGGAUGAUCGUGUUUUACUGACCUGCAAUUCGGUGCCACCUGCCAUCGCAGAGACUCUGUUUCAGUGUCACUGAAGUUGAAAAAUCCCUGAUUCCAUUAUUCAGUUUCACAGUAACCUGGAGGAAAAUAAUGUAGUCAUCACUGUAAACCCCCUCCUGUUCUGUCUGUCUUCUUCUGUUGUAAUAAUGCUGUGUUCCCCACUCAAAACAUGUCUAAUAUGUAAGUGAAAGAAAAACAUGAUUUCAUGAAAACCUUUAAAAUAAAGCACCUUUCUAAUUUACA